RNAcentral lists this small RNA (520 nucleotides) under uncultured Glomus. RNAcentral's name for it is "SSU rRNA". It matches the Rfam family "Eukaryotic small subunit ribosomal RNA", at positions 569 to 1091 of the family's 1831-position model. Lineage: Eukaryota; Fungi; Glomeromycota; Glomeromycetes; Glomerales; Glomeraceae. The record is from RNAcentral.
AGCAGCCGCGGUAAUUCCAGCUCCAAUAGCGUAUAUUAAAGUUGUUGCAGUUAAAAAGCUCGUAGUUGAAUUUCGGGAUUAAUUUACUGGUCGUGCUAUUGUACGUACUGAUUUUAUUGAUUCCUCCCUUCUGACGAACUAUGAUGUCAUUAAUUUGGUGUCAUAGGGAAUCAGGACUGUUACUUUGAAAAAAUUAGAGUGUUUAAAGCAGGCUUACGCUUGAAUACAUUAGCAUGGAAUAACGGAAUAGGACGUUUGAUUCUAUUUUGUUGGUUUCUAGGAUCGACGUAAUGAUUAAUAGGGAUAGUUGGGGGCAUUAGUAUUCAAUUGUCAGAGGUGAAAUUCUUGGAUUUAUUGAAGACUAACUACUGCGAAAGCAUUUGCCAAGGAUGUUUUCAUUAAUCAAGAACGAAAGUUAGGGGAUCGAAGACGAUCAGAUACCGUCGUAGUCUUAACCAUAAACUAUGCCGACUAGGGAUCGGAUGAUGUUAAUUUUUUAAUGACUCAUUCGGCGCCUUAC